ACAAACAAACAGUUCUCUAGCUGCAGUCGACUGCAGAGUGUAAACUCUGUUUUUCCGCUUCAAAAGUUACACCAGGGAAAACAUCCCAAAGUCUUAAAAGAAAACUUUGCACUUUAAGAAACAGAAACUGAAUAAAUGGAGGCGGGUGUUCCGGGUGGAGGUCGCAUUCUCCUGGAGGCAGCAGGUGGUGGCUGCGCACGGGGCACCACGGAUCUCUGGCUGCCCUGACGGUGGACCAGGAAAGCCAACCUGGUCCACGCUGAAGUGGACGGCUUGGCGGUUUUCCAAUGACGCCUUUUUUAUGAAGACAGUUAAGGACCUAGAUUUGGUCCACGGCUGUCAGUUCACCCUCCGCAGGUGAAGAGGACGGGAUUGAGCCUUUUACAGAUACGGUCCAGCUCCUCCUUUGCCCAUUCCCUCUGGGUGACCCUGACCAUGUGUAAGGUAACGGCAGCUGCUUCUUACUUUGUGAGGACGGAUGGGGUGGCGCCUAGCGAGCUCAGGGUGCGUCCUGGUGCCCAGGAACUGCUCGUGACACACAGCCACCAGGCAGCUGCGUCCUCCAGGAAGAAACAGGAAGGGACAGGCGGUGGCCUGCCGCGGGGCUGCGGUAAUGGGGGUGAUUCCUGGUAAAUGGGGGCGAGGGGGGAAGCCAGAGCCCACGCUGCCUUUUCCUCCCUCCUUGGUGGCCCUGUUUUCACCCACUAAGUCGUCCCCAGCAGCAGGGGAAGCCGCAGGCCGCCUGGGGCUGCAGGGAGCACUGUGGCCUGAGCGCCCACGGCCCUGGGAUCUCUGCGCUCCUGGGAAACCCUCCUAGACUGGGACUCGUGAGAUCUGUCCCUUGAUCUCCAUUCUGGCCGUCACCGACAGACACAUCACCUUGGGAAAGUGUGGCACCUCUUUGGGACUUAGCUUACCUGGGAUGGGACGGUCCCAAUGGCCUCUGCAAGAAUUCUGAAGGAGGAAAGGACACCUUUGACAACUGUGUAGAAACCGGAAACUGAAACUCAGGUCGUACUGGAAGGUGAACUUGGCCCAUCAAAGCCCUCACUUUUGACCGUGUCCUUCCCCAAGAAGCAGAGAGCAGCAGGGACUGCUGGCCAGUGGGGGCAGGAUGCCGGGGGUCGCCAGAGUGAAGGACGCUUCCAGAAGUCACCAGGGAGUCUGGCUGGACAGGGCAGAGCCGGCCAGGGGAAGUCCAGACACGGGAGCUGACCCCUCAGUCAGGGUCAGCCCAGAGCCCACUCCCGGGUCAGGCUGGAGGAGCUGUCCAUGGGGAGAGGAAAGCAGGUCGCCUCUUCCUGAGCCAGCUCUAUGUGUCCUGGGUUCCUCUCUCUCUUGUGUGGUUCCAUUUAGAUUUGUCACAUUUCAGAACAAACACAAAAUUCCUGUG
This is a long non-coding RNA of Marmota monax (woodchuck), 1393 nucleotides long. RefSeq lists it as uncharacterized. The transcript is spliced from 2 exons. Lineage: Eukaryota; Metazoa; Chordata; Mammalia; Rodentia; Sciuridae. The record is from RefSeq and is a predicted model, not a curated record.